AGCAGCCGCGGUAAUUCCAGCUCCAAUAGCGUAUAUUAAAGUUGUUGCAGUUAAAAAGCUCGUAGUUGAAUUUCGGGAUUAAUUUACUGGUCGUGCUAUUGUACGUACUGGUUUUAUUGAUUCCUCCCUUCUGACGAACUAUGAUGUCAUUAAUUUGGUGUCAUAGGGAAUCAGGACUGUUACUUUGAAAAAAUUAGAGUGUUUAAAGCAGGCUCACGCUUGAAUACAUUAGCAUGGAAUAACGGAAUAGGACGUUUGAUUCUAUUUUGUUGGUUUCUAGGAUCGACGUAAUGAUUAAUAGGGAUAGUUGGGGGCAUUAGUAUUCAAUUGUCAGAGGUGAAAUUCUUGGAUUUAUUGAAGACUAACUACUGCGAAAGCAUUUGCCAAGGAUGUUUUCAUUAAUCAAGAACGAAAGUUAGGGGAUCGAAGACGAUCAGAUACCGUCGUAGUCUUAACCAUAAACUAUGCCGACUAGGGAUCGGAUGGUGUUAAUUUUUUAAUGACUCAUUCGGCGCCUUAC
Molecule: small RNA, 520 nt
Filed under: uncultured Glomus
Lineage: Eukaryota; Fungi; Glomeromycota; Glomeromycetes; Glomerales; Glomeraceae
Description: SSU rRNA
Rfam family: Eukaryotic small subunit ribosomal RNA
Source: RNAcentral